Molecule: ribosomal RNA, 233 nt
Filed under: uncultured bacterium
Lineage: Bacteria
Description: partial 16S ribosomal RNA
Rfam family: Bacterial small subunit ribosomal RNA
Source: RNAcentral
CGGGACGGGUGAGUAAUGUCUGGGAAACUGCCCGAUGGAGGGGGAUAACUACUGGAAACGGUAGCUAAUACCGCAUAAUGUCUGCGGACCAAAGCGGGGGACCUCCGGGCCUCGCGCCAUCAGAUGAACCCAUAUGGGAUUAGCUUGUAGGUAAGGUAACGGCUUACCUAGGCGACGAUCCCUAGCUGGUCUGAGAGGAUGAUCAGCCACACUGGGACUGAGACACGGCCCAG